GGAUCUGUAUGCAAAUUGGUCAAGCGAUCACACAAACAGUGUAGUUAUAUUACAGGUUCGAGUCCUGUCAGAUCCA
This 76-nucleotide transfer RNA is filed under the name Gracilibacillus caseinilyticus. RNAcentral describes it as "Gracilibacillus sp. SSWR10-1 tRNA-OTHER". It matches the Rfam family "tRNA". Rfam says of the family: Transfer RNA (tRNA) molecules are approximately 80 nucleotides in length. Their secondary structure includes four short double-helical elements and three loops (D, anti-codon, and T loops). Lineage: Bacteria; Bacillati; Bacillota; Bacilli; Caryophanales; Bacillaceae. The record is from RNAcentral.